AACGAACGCUGGCGGCAGGCCUAACACAUGCAAGUCGAACGCCCUCUUCGGAGGGAGUGGCAGACGGGUGAGUAACGCGUGGGAACCUACCUAUCGGUACGGAAUAACGCAGGGAAACUUGUGCUAAUACCGUAUACGCCCCCUGGGGAAAGAUUUAUCGCCGAUAGAUGGGCCCGCGUUGGAUUAGCUUGUUGGUGAGGUAAUGGCUCACCAAGGCGACGAUCCAUAGCUGGUUUGAGAGGAUGAUCAGCCACACUGGGACUGAGACACGGCCCAGACUCCUACGGGAGCAGCAGUGGGGAAUAUUGGACAAUGGGCGCAAGCCUGAUCCAGCCAUGCCGCGUGAGUGACGAAGGCCUUAGGGUUAAA
RNAcentral lists this ribosomal RNA (369 nucleotides) under uncultured bacterium. RNAcentral's name for it is "bacterial SSU rRNA". It matches the Rfam family "Bacterial small subunit ribosomal RNA", at positions 29 to 427 of the family's 1533-position model. The record is from RNAcentral.